CUUCGGGUUGUAAACCUCUUUCAGUAGGGAAGAAGCGAAAGUGACGGUACCUACAGAAGAAGCACCGGCUAACUAUGUGCCAGCAGCCGCGGUAAUACAUAGGGUGCAAGCGUUGUCCGGAAUUAUUGGGCGUAAAGAGCUCGUAGGUGGUUCGAUACGUCGGAUGUGAAAAUCAGGGGCUCAACCCCUGACCUGCAUUCGAUACGGUCGAGCUAGAGUUUGGUAGGGGAGACUGGAAUUCCUGGUGUAGCGGUGGAAUGCGCAGAUAUCAGGAGGAACACCGAUGGCGAAGGCAGGUCUCUGGGCCAAUACUGACACUGAGGAGCGAAAGCGUGGGGAGCGAACAGGAUUAGAUACCCUGGUAGUCCACGCCGUAAACGGUGGGCGCUAGUUGUGCGAACCUUCCACGGUUUGUGCGACGCAGCUAACGCAUUAAGCGCCCCGCCUGGGGAGUACGAUCGCAAGAUUAAAACUCAAAGGAAUUGACGGGGCCCCGCACAAGCAGCGGAGCAUGCGGCUUAAUUCGACGCAACGCGAAGAACCUUACCAAGGCUUGACAUAUACAGGAAUACGGCAGAGAUGUCGUAGCCGCAAGGUCUGUAUACAGGUGGUGCAUGGUUGUCGUCAGCUCGUGUCGUGAGAUGUUGGGUUAAGUCCCGCAACGAGCGCAACCCUCGUUCUGUGUUGCCAGCAUUUAGUUGGGGACUCACAGGAGACUGCCGGGGUUAACUCGGAGGAAGGUGGGGAUGACGUCAAAUCAUCAUGCCCCUUAUGUCUUGGGCUGCACGCAUGCUACAAUGGCUGGUACAAACGGCUGCAAUACCGCAAGGUGGAGCGAAUCCGAUAAAGCCAGUCUCAGUUCGGAUUGGGGUCUGCAACUCGACCCCAUGAAGUCGGAGUUGCUAGUAAUCGUAGAUCAGCAACGCUACGGUGAAUACGUUCCCGGGGCUUGUACACACCGCCCGUCACGUCACGAAAGUCGGUAACACCCAAAGUCAGUGGCCCAACCGCAAGGAGGGAGCUGCCAAAGGUGGGAUCGGUGAUUGGGACGAAGUCGUAACAAGGUAGCCGUACCGGAAGGUGCGGCUG
This 1089-nucleotide ribosomal RNA is filed under the name marine metagenome. Its description in RNAcentral is "bacterial SSU rRNA". It matches the Rfam family "Bacterial small subunit ribosomal RNA", at positions 416 to 1520 of the family's 1533-position model. The record is from RNAcentral.